UACGGGGGGGGCAAGCGUUGUUCGGAAUUACUGGGCGUAAAGGGCGUGUAGGCGGCCAACUAAGUCCGACGUGAAAUCCCCAGGCUUAACCUGGGAACUGCGUCGGAUACUGGAUGGCUUGAAUCCGGGAGAGGGAUGCGGAAUUCCAGGUGUAGCGGUGAAAUGCGUAGAUAUCUGGAGGAACACCGGUGGCGAAGGCGGCGAUCCUGGACCGGGCAUUGACGCUAAAGCGCGAAAGCCAGGGGAGCAAACGGG
RNAcentral lists this ribosomal RNA (255 nucleotides) under uncultured bacterium. RNAcentral's name for it is "partial 16S ribosomal RNA". It matches the Rfam family "Bacterial small subunit ribosomal RNA", at positions 524 to 776 of the family's 1533-position model. The record is from RNAcentral.